This 1133-nucleotide long non-coding RNA is filed under the name Sus scrofa (pig). RNAcentral describes it as "lncRNA (ENSSSCG00050025840.1)". The record is from RNAcentral. Lineage: Eukaryota; Metazoa; Chordata; Mammalia; Artiodactyla; Suidae.
GACAGGUACCAGCAGAGGGUCCAUGUGCCCAACAUGACGUCCCUGAAGAUUGAGAACCUGACCCCCGAGGACAGUGGGCUGUACCGGGCUCGAAGCAUCUUCACUGGAGGAGUAGAAUUUACCCAGGUUUUCCACCUCACUGUCUAUGAACCUGUGCCCAUUCCCCAGAUCCUGGUCCACUCACCAUCCAUCACGCAAGGCCUGUGCAAUGUCACCAUUGAGUGCAGGAUCUCAUGGGGCACAGAGGACCUGAAGGUGACCCGGGAGGGCAAGGGCCUCCCCAGGCAGCUGGAGGAGAGAGUGACACUGGGACCAGCCCCCAGUUCCUGGACCUUGGCUGUGCACCUUCCCCGGAGCCAGCCCUACACCAACAUCACCUGUGUGGUCAGCAACGAAGUGGACCAGAAAACUGCCACCUUCAACCUUGGGGAAGUCUGCCACCUCGGGGACGCCCAUGGUUCACUUGGAGAGGCGAUUGUUGUUUCCCUACGAGGCAUCCUAGGGUCUGUCGUGGUCAUGGUGUUGGUCCUCAGAGGUGGACUGUACCUUUGGAAGGCACACGGGAAGAAGAAGAAGAAGGAGAAGAAGAAGGAGAAGGAGAAGGAGAAGGAGAAGGAGAAGGAGAAGGAGAAGGAGAAGAAGAAGAAGAAGAAGAAGAAGAUGGAGACUGCAAGAGGCAGGUGGCACUUCUCCUUCCUGCCCCAGUUACUUCCCCUCCCCCACUGGACCCUUGGCGCCCUUCCUCCUGCAUUCACUUCUCAAGGAAUAUCUGUGCACAGGAGAUGGUGGCAGUGGUCAUGGCCUUGGGGUACACAGCAGUGGGUGGAGGGUACUGGUUUCCCAGGCCCCGAUUUAAGCUCCAUUCUGUUUGUGACUCAGGAGCAGGAUUGCAGGAGGAUCAUGGGGUCCGUGACUGUGGCAUCUAGAGUGCAGAACUGAGCCAGCAGGAGUCUCUUGAGGUGAGAUGUACCCAGUGAGUACUGAGCAUUGUGCCCAACCUGUGCUCUCCUGGUUCCCUCACUGCCCAGGCCUGGGUUUGUCUAACUCACGCAUUGCUGUUUUUAUUCCUCCUGCCACUUUAACUCUUUCUGGACAAUACACUGAGAAUUUAACCCUGGGACCAGUGUAUAGAC